UGGAGACAUGGUUCCUGUGUGU
Molecule: unclassified non-coding RNA, 22 nt
Filed under: Mus musculus (house mouse)
Lineage: Eukaryota; Metazoa; Chordata; Mammalia; Rodentia; Muridae
Description: oocyte_clustered_small_RNA4925
Source: RNAcentral